UACGGAGGGUGCAAUCGUUGUUCGGAAUCACUGGGCGUAAAGGGCGCGCAGGCGGUUUGGUAAGUCAGAUGUGAAAGCCCACGGCUUAACCGUGGAAGUGCAUUUGAAACUGCCUGACUUGAGUACCAGAGGGGAAAGUGGAAUUCCCGGUGUAGAGGUGAAAUUCGUAGAUAUCGGGAGGAAUACCGGUGGCGAAGGCGACUUUCUGGCUGGAUACUGACGCUGAGGCGCGAAAGCGUGGGGAGAAAACAGG
Molecule: ribosomal RNA, 253 nt
Filed under: uncultured bacterium
Lineage: Bacteria
Description: partial 16S ribosomal RNA
Rfam family: Bacterial small subunit ribosomal RNA
Source: RNAcentral